AUAUAAUAAAAUACAGUUAAACCUCUAUAAAUUAAUACUCGAUAAAUUAAUAACCUCUAUAAAUUAAUAAAUUUUUCCGGAGUUAGGACUAGGGUAAAAAGUGACACAAAUCGAUAAAUUAAUAAGAUAAUAACUUUUUCGAAAGUCCUAUGUAAAUAUAUGGUCUCAUCAAUAUCAUAAAUUAAUAAUUGUAUAAAUAUAUCAAUUAUAUAUAUACAUUAUAUGUAAGAUUUUUUUUUGAAAUAUAAUUCUAAUAUUUUUUUGCUUAAAUUUGUAUUUAUU
Molecule: small RNA, 282 nt
Filed under: Arabidopsis thaliana (thale cress)
Lineage: Eukaryota; Viridiplantae; Streptophyta; Magnoliopsida; Brassicales; Brassicaceae
Description: ATSL022790
Source: RNAcentral